Non-coding RNA from Salmo salar (Atlantic salmon), 54 nucleotides. Lineage: Eukaryota; Metazoa; Chordata; Actinopteri; Salmoniformes; Salmonidae. The record is from Rfam.
UGCAAUCACUACUGUAAGUUGCUCUGGAUAAGAGUGUCUGCUAAAUGACUAAAA